UUUGGAGCAGUGAUGAGUGAGAAUGUGUGUUCUUGCAUCAGCAGAAAGAGCCAAUUGCUCCUGCUCCCUCUGGGGCUGGCCUAGUUUGCUUGGCCUUUUCUCUGAAAUGAAGCAAGGCUUUAUGAUAGGAUUUUAAACCUUUAUUCAUAAAAACAAGGAGUGGGGAUGUUGUGACUUGUUUCCAUAUUUGCAAAGGUCUUGGUUGAGUGAGGGUGAGAUGAGGCUGCUGGGACUAAGGGUGAGGAGGCUGAACGAGCAGUGCAUCAUGGCAGGCCACUGCAAUGCCUCCUAUGAGAUUCAGGAACUCCUGGAAGUCCAGCUGCCCAUCGCUGUUGAUAUCAAGCCGCUUCAUCAUCCUGUCCACAACAGCGGGGUCCUUCUGAUUCUUUGUGAAGGAAGCCAGCUCGGUGUUCAUGAAAGUCCGGAAUUCUUUCUUGGAGAGCUUGAGGUUGUCUCCUUCACGCCCUGCGUACCUCUGGAAGACGGCCAGCAGCGACUCAAUGCAGCGCUCGGUCUCAGUGGGGGAAACCUUGGACAUGGCUGGGGUUGGGGGCUCGGUGCGGUGCUCGCGGUGCGGUGCUCAGCGCUUUGCAGCAGUUGCGAUCUGUAUGAGCCUCGCCCAGCAGCGCCCGGCCCUGGUUCAGCCCCCCGGGGCCACGUUGGGCAAUCGGCGGCUGUAACGGCGGAUUGGGACGUGCCUGCGGUCCCCA
Molecule: long non-coding RNA, 710 nt
Filed under: Gallus gallus (chicken)
Lineage: Eukaryota; Metazoa; Chordata; Aves; Galliformes; Phasianidae
Source: RNAcentral